RNAcentral lists this long non-coding RNA (809 nucleotides) under Salmo salar (Atlantic salmon). RNAcentral describes it as "lncRNA (ENSSSAG00000090897.1)". The record is from RNAcentral. Lineage: Eukaryota; Metazoa; Chordata; Actinopteri; Salmoniformes; Salmonidae.
UGGGUUGAUCGUUUUUUGUCAAUUACUGCUUGACUUCCUUCAAACAACUGUUAGCCAAAAUGAUUAAUUUCCUUUUUACUGUAUAUAUGCACAUAUAUUAUACAGUAUACUCUGAGAAUAUAGUAAAGCAUAGAAAGAGAACAAAGAUAGAGGGAUAGAAAGGAGGAGGAAGGAGUAAAGAGAGAUAGAGAGGAGGAAGGAGUAAAGAGAGAGUGAGAGAGGAGGAAGGAGUAAAGAGAGAUAGAGAGGAGGAAGGAGUAAAGAGAGAGAGAUAUAGAGAGGAGGAAGGAGUAAAGAGAGCUAUAGAGAGGAGGAAGGGGUAAAGAGAGAUAUAUAGAGAGGAGGGAGGAGUAAAGAGAGCUAUAGAGAGGAGGAAGGGGUAAAGAGAGAUAUAUAGAGAGGAGGGAGGAGUAAAGAGAGAUAUAUAGAGAGGAGGAAGGAGUAGAGAGAGAUAUAGAGAGGAGGAAGGAGUAGAGAGAGAUAUAGAGAGAAGGAAGGGGUAAAGAGAGAUAUAUAGAGAGGAGGAAGGAGUAAAGAGAGAUAUAUAGAGAGGAGGAAGGAGUAAAGAGAGAGAUAUAGAGAGGAGGGAGGAGUAAAGAGAGAUAUAUAGAGAGGAGGAAGGAGUAGAGAGAGAGAUAUAGAGAGGAAGGAGUAGAGAGAGGUAUAGAGAGGAGGAAGGAGUAGAGAGAGAUAUAGAGAGGAGGAUGGAGUAGAGAGAGAUAUAGAGAGAGGAGGGAGGAGAGUAGAGAGAGAGAUAUAGAGAGGAGGAAGGAGUAAAGGGAGAGAUAUAGAGAGGAGGAAGGAGUAGA